GGCGAACGCUGGCGGCGUGCUUAACACAUGCAAGUCGAACGGACCGGUCCGUUUGAGUGUACUCGAGUUGAGAAACGGUGAGUAACAUGCGUGUAACCUGCGCAUGACUCCGGGAAAAUUUCAGUAAUCCGGAGCUAAUACUGCAUGGGAAAGAUUGCUGCCUUUUGGGGCGUGGCGAGCUUCGGUGGUUUGGUAUGGACUCGCGGCUUAUCCGCUGGUUGGUGGGGUUGUGGCUUCCCAAGGCUUUGACGGGCAGCUUGCCUGAGAGGGAGACCUGCCACAUUGGGACUGAGAUACGGCCCAGACUCCUACGGGAGGCAGCAGUGGGGAAUAUUGCACAAUGGGCUGAAGCCUGAUGCAGCAACGCCGCGUGCGGGAUGACGGCCUUCGGGUUGUAAACCGCUUUCAGCAGGGGCGAAGCUUUUGUGACGGUACCUGCAGAAGAAGCACCGGCUAACUACGUG
Molecule: ribosomal RNA, 464 nt
Filed under: uncultured bacterium
Lineage: Bacteria
Description: partial 16S ribosomal RNA
Rfam family: Bacterial small subunit ribosomal RNA
Source: RNAcentral